GGAAAGGCACACCUCCGCCCCAGGCCGCCUCGUGCUUAUGGCGCCGCCCCAGUCUUCCAAAUAGCUAACCUCGAACUAGGUGGGUCACUACCGCGCGAAGGCAAAUGACCUUCAAGGUCAGAAGCAAGCAAACCGUGGUCUCAACUCUCAGCUGGAAGUUGCCGGGAGAUCACUGUCGCUAGUGCCUGACAAGACGCGGCCCUCUGCGCCACCCCGUGGGAACCAAGGGUACCAAAACCUCCCGGGGAGACCGGCCUUGGACAAGAGAACGUUCCUCGCAAGCGGAUUUUUUUCCUCAUAUCGCUCUUUUUAAAGACUUUGUCUCUCUUGUCUCCCAAUCAAGAGAAUGAUUUGACUCUACCUUGUCCAUCCUAUCUACGCCCCGCUACCCCAACAGUUGAUUGCAUCCAUGGACACAGAGCCCAAGGAUACAGAGGGCCUUGACUUUGAAUAAAUGAGACAGACCGAAGUAGCCUUUGGUUCAUCCAGGAACGUCCCAUCCUCUGGACCUUCAGGACUGUAUCAUUGGGAGCAGAAAGGGCCAGGAGUGCCACACUAAGAAACAACCACCGGCAGGAACAGACUUGAAAUGGAAGCUGGGCUUGCUCUGAGGCCCUCGGCUGACAGUGACCACACCUGCUGGGUGCUGAGGGCGGUGCACAGGGAACAGAUGGCCUCUGCAUCUUCGGGGCUUUUCUUCUUUAACUGCAGGAGCUGGGCUGCUUGGAUCAGAGGUUCCAUGGUCUCAGCAACUUCCCUCUGGUGCAGGUUUCUUCCCCGAAGCCACUCCUCCAGCUGACUUAUAUUGUACCUUAGACACAGGAAAAGUGAGCUCUGUUAAACCUGGCCUCCUACUUCACUGGGAAGAGCUCACCUCUUGUGUUUAUUUUGCAGGCCAGCUGCCAUUAGUGUUAUCAUUCUCCUCAUCUUAAUUGUCCCACAUGGGCAAAAGCGUGAAAAGUACCUGGCACUCAAUAACUUUUUGUGAAAUGAGUGGGUGCUUAAAAUCAAGCCAAGAUGAAGUAUCUAAAGUGUCUGUACUAAGUUAAUGAGAAAAAAAGGCAUUAACUGUAUUGAAUUAAAACUUAACAUUUAACAUUCGCAAACAUGUUCGUACUUCUCUGUGAGCCUUCGUGCCUCUUAAGUCAUUAAUUUUUCUCUCUGACCUAUCCACCUCAUAUUUACAAUCUUCAUAUUAAAGUAUGUAAAUGUGUUUAAGCUCUGAACUAAUUUGUUUACCGGGUCACCAUCUCAGUGUGUGAUGAAUUUCACCAACCAAUAAAAAGGUGAUGGAUCUGAGUCACAUACUGACUGUGACAAGGACGAUCAGUUGCAUUUGGAUUUCAGUUUCAGAGACAAGUGUCCCGUGCCCGAUGGGGCUGGUGUGUGCCAGGCCAAGGCGCCUCUCGUACCUGAGCUGCAUGCCUGUGCUCCAGGAGCAGACGUCCUUCCUCAGAAGCAGGUUGUUGAGAGUCACCGCGUUGAUCAUGUAGAAGAGCUGUUUGAACACCUGCAGGAUGAUCUCGGGGUCCAGGCCCUGGUCGCACAUGACUGUGUGGAAGGAAUUCAUCUGGCGGAUGACGGCUUCCAGGCAGUAGGAGUUAUCUCCAUCCGCCAGGCUGGAGGUGCGCUUCCGGUAGCCCGUGGGCUUCACCCCAGACAGACCCUGAAUGCUCUCGUUCUCCAACAUGGCAGACACUGAAAGAAAAGCAUGAUUAGAGAAGCUGCAUGUUCCCAAAGAAGAUCUGUUUUCGGGUCACUGAGAUCACACAGUACUCAGGGCUUUGGCAGUGAUCCCACCCAGAGGUGAACAAGGUCGACGUGCUCAGGAACUUACAACAUUUGGCAUGGAAUUUCUAACCUGUUGAUUUCUACACAGAAUAGGACUUCCACAUAGAAAUCUCGGACUAAACCUGUGGACCACAUUUUUGCGUAAAUUUAUUGGUGAUGGGACAGAGGUAAAAGGCACGUACCGACUUAAUUCUGUUCUGGCUUCUGUGCUGAGAGACCAGAAUGGAGCAACUUGGGUGUAGUCAUGGCCCAGCCACUGCCCUGGGCCUGGACCCUGAGAUCAGCCUAUAGGUGUUCAAAUAGCUUUUCUCCAUCAGCCACCGACCAUGUAAAUCCUAGGUGAGCUGGUCUGUCAUACUUACUGCCCAGCACUUAACUACAGGUCAGGCACUUUAUAUUCAGUAUUCCUUUUAAUCUUCCAACAACCCAUUUCCUAAUGAGGAAACUGAGGCAUAAAGAGGUUAAAUAACUUGCCCAAGGUCACCCUGCUAGGAAGUGGCAGGGCCAGGAUUUGAACCCAGGUAUGUCUGAUUCCAGAACUGAUGCUGUUAACCAUCAUCUUACCUGAGUCAUGAAACAUCCCCAGUUCUCCCUGUCUGGUGAGAAUAAACUGGCGUCUCAUAAGAGUCUCAGACAGGAAGAAGGAUUUGGAAUGAAUCUUAUCCCAAGGGGUAUAUUUCUGGAUGGCAUGUAGGACUCUGUCCUACUUGGAAUUCACUUAUAACCUACUUGUGUUGUAAGAACCUGGGGAAAGAAUUACUUACAUGGUCCAGGAGACUAUUUCCUCGACAGCCUGUAAGGAGCACCGUGAGCGAUGCAUAUACGUGUCACUUUUCUCGUGACUUAAAAAAUAACUGCUCUGAUUUUCAAAUCUGAUUUCAUGUUAAGUGCCCGAGUGUACUGCUUUGGACAGAAUGUUUAAUAA
Molecule: long non-coding RNA, 2716 nt
Organism: Lagenorhynchus albirostris (white-beaked dolphin)
Lineage: Eukaryota; Metazoa; Chordata; Mammalia; Artiodactyla; Delphinidae
Exons: 4
Source: RefSeq, a predicted model, not a curated record